GACGAACGCUGGCGGCGUGCUUAACACAUGCAAGUCGAACGGAAAGGCCCUGCUUUUGUGGGGUGCUCGAGUGGCGAACGGGUGAGUAACACGUGAGUAACCUGUCCUUGACUUUGGGAUAACUUCAGGCAACUGGGGCUAAUACCGGAUAGGAGCUCCUGCUGCAUGGUGGGGGUUGGAAAGUUUCGGCGGUUGGGGAUGGACUCGCGGCUUAUCAGCUUGUUGGUGGGGUAGUGGAUUACCAAGGCUUUGACGGAUAGCCGGCCUGAGAGGGUGACCGACCACAUUGGUACGGAGAGACGGCCCAGACUCCCACGGGAGGCAGCAGUGGGGAAUAUAGCACAAGGGGCGGAAGCCUGAUGCAGCAACGCCGCGUGCGGGAUGACGGCCGUCGUGUGGUAAGCCGCUUUCGCCUGUCACGAAGCGUGAGGGACGGUAAUGGGUAAAGAAGCACCGGCAAACUACGU
This 467-nucleotide ribosomal RNA is filed under the name uncultured bacterium. Its description in RNAcentral is "partial 16S ribosomal RNA". It matches the Rfam family "Bacterial small subunit ribosomal RNA", at positions 28 to 506 of the family's 1533-position model. The record is from RNAcentral.